RNAcentral lists this unclassified non-coding RNA (358 nucleotides) under soil metagenome. RNAcentral describes it as "partial contains 5.8S ribosomal RNA, internal transcribed spacer 2, and large subunit ribosomal RNA". The stretch from base 1 to 120 matches the Rfam family "5.8S ribosomal RNA", at positions 35 to 154 of the family's 154-position model. The record is from RNAcentral.
GAUGAAGAACGUAGCGAAAUGCGAUAAGUAAUGUGAAUUGCAGAAUUCAGUGAAUCAUCGAAUCUUUGAACGCACAUUGCGCCCGUCAGUAUUCUGGCGGGCAUGCCUGUUCGAGCGUCAUUACGCCCCUCAAGUCCCCUGUGGACUUGGUGUUGGGGAUCGGCGAGGCUGGUUUUCCAGCACAGCCGUCCCUUAAAUUAAUUGGCGGUCUCGCCGUGGCCCUCCUCUGCGCAGUAGUAAAACACUCGCAACAGGAGCCCGGCGCGGUCCACUGCCGUAAAACCCCCCAACUUUUUAUAGUUGACCUCGAAUCAGGUAGGACUACCCGCUGAACUUAAGCAUAUCAAUAAGCGGAGUA